UUAGGUUAAGUUAGAAAGGGCGCACGGUGGAUGCCUUGGCACUAGGAGCCGAUGAAGGACGGGACUAACACCGAUAUGCUCCGGGGAGCUGUAAGUGAGCUUUGAUCCGGAGAUUUCCGAAUGGGGAAACCCACUAUCCGUAAUGGGAUAGUAUCUUUACCUGAAUUCAUAGGGUAUUGAAGGCAUACCCGGGGAACUGAAACAUCUAAGUACCCGGAGGAAGAGAAAGCAAACGCGAUUCCCCAAGUAGCGGCGAGCGAAACGGGACAUAGCCCAAACCGAAAGGCUUGCCUUUCGGGGUUGUAGGACACUCAAUAUGGAGUUACAAAGGAANAAGUAGGCGAAGAGGUCUGGAAAGGCCUGCCGUAGAAGGUAAAAGCCCUGUAGCUGAAACUUCGUUCCCUCCUGAGUGGAUCCUGAGUACGGCCGGACACGUGAAAUCCGGUCGGAAUCCGGGAGGACCAUCUCCCAAGGCUAAAUACUCCCUAGUGACCGAUAGUGAACCAGUACCGUGAGGGAAAGGUGAAAAGCACCCCGGAAGGGGAGUGAAAGAGAUCCUGAAACCGUGUGCCUACAAGUAGUCAGAGCCCGUUCAUGGGUGAUGGCGUGCCUUUUGUAGAAUGAACCGGCGAGUUACGGUCCCAUGCAAGGUUAAGCUGAAAAAGCGGAGCCGCAGCGAAAGCGAGUCUGAAUAGGGCGAAUGAGUAUGUGGCCGUAGACCCGAAACCAGGUGAUCUACCCAUGUCCAGGGUGAAGGUAGGGUAACACCUACUGGAGGCCCGAACCCACGUACGUUGAAAAGUGCGGGGAUGAGGUGUGGGUAGCGGAGAAAUUCCAAUCGAACCUGGAGAUAGCUGGUUCUCUCCGAAAUAGCUUUAGGGCUAGCCUCACGU
RNAcentral lists this ribosomal RNA (893 nucleotides) under Bacillus sp. FJAT-27225. RNAcentral's name for it is "bacterial LSU rRNA". It matches the Rfam family "Bacterial large subunit ribosomal RNA", at positions 1 to 887 of the family's 2925-position model. The record is from RNAcentral. Lineage: Bacteria; Bacillati; Bacillota; Bacilli; Caryophanales; Bacillaceae.